Molecule: ribosomal RNA, 253 nt
Filed under: uncultured bacterium
Lineage: Bacteria
Description: partial 16S ribosomal RNA
Rfam family: Bacterial small subunit ribosomal RNA
Source: RNAcentral
UACGGGGGGGGCAAGCGUUGUUCGGAAUUACUGGGCGUAAAGGGCUCGUAGGUGGCCAACUAAGUCAUACGUGAAAUCCCCCGGCUUAACCUGGGAACUGCGUCUGAUACUGGGAGGCUAGAGUGCGGGAGAGGGAUGCGGAAUUCCAGGUGUAGCGGUGAAAUGCGUAGAUAUCAGGAGGAACACCGGUGGCGAAGGCGGGACUCUGGGCCGAUACUGACGCUGAGGAGCGAAAGCGUGGGGAGCGAACAGG